GUCCUCCACCUCGCUUAUUCGUUCUUCUGCCUCCUGUAUUCUGCUGUUAGCUGCUUCUAGUGAAUUUUUUAUUUCAGUUAUUGUAUUUUGCAUCUCUUCUUGUUUAAGUUUUAUAUCUUGUAUCUCUUUGGUCAGUGUUUCCUGUAAGUUAUCCAUCUUUGCCUCCAGUUUAUUUCCAAUGUCUUGCAUCAUCUUCAGCAUCAACAGUCUAAAGUCUUUUUCCUGGAGGCUGAGAAUCUCCUCAUUGCUUAGCUGAUUUUCUGGGGUUUUUCCUUUCUCCCUCAUCUGAGUUAUAGUUCUCUGUCUUUUCAUUUUUAUAGGUUUUUGGUGUGGUGACCUUUUUACAGAUAAUAGAGUUGUAGCCUCUCUUACUUCUGGUGUCUGCCCCCCUUGUGGCUGAAGUCGGUAUGGGGGCUUGCUGUAGGCUUCCUGAUGGGAGGGGCUGAUGCCUGCCCACUGGUAGGUGGAACUGAUUCUAAUCCCUCUGGUGGGUGGGGUUUAGUCUCUGGAUGAGAUUAGAGGCAGCUGUGUGCCUGAGGAGUCUUUAGGUAGCCUGUUUACUGAGGGGUGGGGCUGUGAUCCUACCUGGAUUGUUGUUUUCCCUAGGGCUUCUCAGCACUGACUGACAGGUGAGGCCAGAUUUUCCCAAAAUGGCCACCUCCAGAGAAAGUUAGCUGCCGAAUAUUCCCAAGAGAUUUGCCUUCAAUGUCCCUCCUUCACAACAAGCCACAUUCACCCCUGUUUUCUCAGGAUGUCCUCCAAGAACUGCAGUCAGGUUUGACCCAGAUUCCCAUGGAGACCUUGCCCUGCCCUGGGAUCCAGUGCACAUGAAAGUCCAUGUGUGCCGUUUAAGAAUGGGGUCUCCUGAAAGCAUUUGAUAUUGGUGUCUCAUUGUAUGGCUGACUUCACUUGGCAUGAUAAUUUCUAGGUCCAUCCAUGUUGCUAAAAAUGCCGGUAUUUCGUUCUUUUUUAAUGGCUGAGUAAUAUUCCAUUGUGUAUAUGGACCACUUCAUCUUGAUCCACUCCUCUGUCGAUGGACAUUUAGGUU
This 1048-nucleotide long non-coding RNA is filed under the name Sus scrofa (pig). RNAcentral's name for it is "lncRNA (ENSSSCG00015020973.1)". The record is from RNAcentral. Lineage: Eukaryota; Metazoa; Chordata; Mammalia; Artiodactyla; Suidae.